UACGGAGGGUGCAAGCGUUAUCCGGAUUCACUGGGUUUAAAGGGUGCGUAGGUGGGGAUGUAAGUCAGUGGUGAAAUCUCUGAGCUUAACUCAGAAACUGCCAUUGAUACUAUGUUUCUUGAAUUUUCUGGAGGUCAGCGGAAUAUGUCAUGUAGCGGUGAAAUGCUUAGAUAUGACAUAGAACACCAAUUGCGAAGGCAGCUGACUACAGGGAUAUUGACACUGAGGCACGAAAGCGUGGGGAUCAAACAGG
This 253-nucleotide ribosomal RNA is filed under the name uncultured bacterium. Its description in RNAcentral is "partial 16S ribosomal RNA". It matches the Rfam family "Bacterial small subunit ribosomal RNA", at positions 524 to 776 of the family's 1533-position model. The record is from RNAcentral.